UACGGAGGAUGCGAGCGUUAUCCGGAUUCAUUGGGUUUAAAGGGUGCGUAGGCGGGAUGAUAAGUCAGGGGUGAAAGCCAGCAGCUCAACUGUUGAAUUGCCUUUGAUACUGUCGUUCUUGAAUAUGGUUGAAGUGGGCGGAAUGUGACAUGUAGCGGUGAAAUGCGUAGAUAUGUCCCAGAACACCGAUUGCGAAGGCAGCUCACUAAGCCAUCAUUGACGCUGAUGCACGAAAGCGUGGGGAGCAAACAGG
RNAcentral lists this ribosomal RNA (253 nucleotides) under uncultured bacterium. RNAcentral's name for it is "partial 16S ribosomal RNA". It matches the Rfam family "Bacterial small subunit ribosomal RNA", at positions 524 to 776 of the family's 1533-position model. The record is from RNAcentral.